Molecule: ribosomal RNA, 67 nt
Filed under: Rhizobium sp. RMa-01
Lineage: Bacteria; Pseudomonadati; Pseudomonadota; Alphaproteobacteria; Hyphomicrobiales; Rhizobiaceae
Description: partial 16S ribosomal RNA
Rfam family: Bacterial small subunit ribosomal RNA
Source: RNAcentral
UCAACAUGAGAGUUUGAUCCUGGCUCAGAACGAACGCUGGCGGCAGGCUUAACACAUGCAAGUCGAG